AACGAACGCUGGCGGCAGGCCUAACACAUGCAAGUCGAGCGAGGACUUCGGUUCUAGCGGCGGACGGGUGAGUAACGCGUGGGAAUGUGCCCUUCUCUACGGAAUAGCCCUGGGAAACUGGGAGUAAUACCGUAUACGCCCUAUUGGGGAAAGAUUUAUCGGAGAAGGAUCAGCCCGCGUUGGAUUAGGUAGUUGGUGGGGUAAUGGCCUACCAAGCCGACGAUCCAUAGCUGGUUUGAGAGGAUGAUCAGCCACACUGGGACUGAGACACGGCCCAGACUCCUACGGGAGGCAGCAGUGGGGAAUCUUAGACAAUGGGGGCAACCCUGAUCUAGCCAUGCCGCGUGAGUGAUGAAGGCCUUAGGGUUGUAAAGCUCUUUCAGCUAGGAAGAUAAUGACGGUACCAGCAGAAGAAGCCCCGGCUAACUCCGUG
RNAcentral lists this ribosomal RNA (433 nucleotides) under uncultured bacterium. Its description in RNAcentral is "partial 16S ribosomal RNA". It matches the Rfam family "Bacterial small subunit ribosomal RNA", at positions 29 to 507 of the family's 1533-position model. The record is from RNAcentral.